CUCAGUGGCGAUAGCACGUUGAAUCCAACAGUUUCCCCUGGAUCACUGAAGCAACUUCGCGCGUGGUUAGUAUCCGGACGGGUGACCACCUGGACAAUCGCGUUCUGAUGGCU
RNAcentral lists this ribosomal RNA (113 nucleotides) under Diaphorina citri (Asian citrus psyllid). The record is from RNAcentral. Lineage: Eukaryota; Metazoa; Arthropoda; Insecta; Hemiptera; Psyllidae.